AGUAACGCGUGGGUAACCUGCCUCAUACAGGGGGAUAACAGUUAGAAAUGACUGCUAAUACCGCAUAAGCGCACAGUGCUGCAUGGCACAGUGUGAAAAACUCCGGUGGUAUGAGAUGGACUCGCGUCUGAUUAGUUAGUUGGUGGGGUAACGGCCUACCAAGGCGACGAUCAGUAGCCGGCCUGAGAGGGUGAACGGCCACAUUGGGACUGAGACACGGCCCAA
RNAcentral lists this ribosomal RNA (225 nucleotides) under uncultured bacterium. Its description in RNAcentral is "partial 16S ribosomal RNA". It matches the Rfam family "Bacterial small subunit ribosomal RNA", at positions 109 to 334 of the family's 1533-position model. The record is from RNAcentral.